GUGCCAGCCGCCGCGGUAAUACGGAGGGUGCAAGCGUUGUCCGGAAUCACUGGGCGUAAAGGGUGCGCAGGCGGGGCAGCAAGCCGGAGGUGAAAGCCCGUGGCUCAACCACGGAAGUGCCUUCGAAACUGUUGCUCUUGGGUCCCGGAGAGGUUGCCGGAAUUCGUGGUGUAGCGGUGAAAUGCGUAGAUAUCACGAGGAGCUCCAGAGGCGAAAGCGGGCAACUGGACGGGUACUGACGCUCAGGCACGAAAGCGCGGGGAGCAAACAGGAUUAGAAACCCGUGUAGUCC
This 292-nucleotide ribosomal RNA is filed under the name uncultured bacterium. Its description in RNAcentral is "partial 16S ribosomal RNA". It matches the Rfam family "Bacterial small subunit ribosomal RNA", at positions 505 to 796 of the family's 1533-position model. The record is from RNAcentral.